UAGAUAAAAAUUAAAAAAUAAAAAUUUUUAUUUUUUGUAAGAUAUGAAAAGAGAAACCUAACAAGUAAAUUACACUACAACAGAAUUAGAUUAUAGAGACACAUGUUUGGGACACUUUUGAGUAAGUGUCCCAUUUAUGCUAAAACUUAAAAAAAUAUCUACUUAUGCCUAAAUAUAAAGCCCAAUCCAACCAAAAAUAAAAGAUUACUCUACUCAACCCACCACACACAGUCCAUUCGAUCCGAUUACAAAUAGAAAAGAAAAAAAAAAAGAAAAAUCAAUUACCAUCUUUUCUUCUCUUUUCACUCAAUCUACUGAAAUUCUAGACGAAGAGCCUUUUCUGUCGUCCUCCUCCGCCACCGCAGCCAACGAGAUAGAGUUUCGGCGGUUGCUAAAUGCUUAAAUAAGUGUUGGUAAAUUAGCAGCAUACUUUUAGGUUAUAGCGACACUCUUUAACUGUCACUAUAUACCUAGCGACCCCACAUAUAGCAACACUUUUUAAAAGUGUCGGUAAUUUUAGCUAGCAGCACUUUUUUGAUAUGUACCUAUAUUUAAAAGUGUCGCUAUAGACCGUUUUGAUUGUAGUGUUAGUUUCUAAACUAUUUCUGGAAAACCAAAUGUG
Molecule: long non-coding RNA, 622 nt
Filed under: Ananas comosus (pineapple)
Lineage: Eukaryota; Viridiplantae; Streptophyta; Magnoliopsida; Poales; Bromeliaceae
Description: long non-coding RNA (ACOM_LNC027302)
Source: RNAcentral